CCAGACCUUACUGUACAGUAUGGCAUCUUUCUUGAAUAUUUUUAUUACUUGUUUAAAAUCAGAUAAAAUAUUUCAAUCAAAAAUCAUCAAUUGGAAAAAUCACCAGGAAAUGGAAAGGAUUGGCAGCAGAAGCUGUAACAGAUGCCAGCAGUUUCUUAAUCCAAUUCCCAAUGGAUCUUGAGGUUAAAACGAAAACCCUUUUGCUUGGAGCUUGCUUCCUACUGAUAAGACGAAAUAAAAGAAGAUGGAAAUGUCAAAUGAAACUAAGCCCACAUCAGCACCUCCAGAAUAUUCGGGUCCAGCUUAUUCACUUCCACAAGUCCAAUAUCCUCAGUAUGGACAUGCAGUUCCAGGUAAUCAUAAUCUUUAUCAUAGUUACUUAUCAGAAUUUGGUGAGUUAGCACAAAUAAAGUAACGGAACAGUUUCUAUUUCAAAUAAGUAAAAAAAACACCAUAAUAUUGUAAGUCAUUAAAAGAAUCCGGGUAUUGUACUAUUGUAUAUUAUUUGUCCUACACUAUGUAAAUUUACAGAAUGUAAUCAUAUUUCAAAGAAACAAAAUUGUAGCGAUCUGAGCUAUUCUAGGAAGGACACCAAGCUUGUAUAGGAGCCCUGUUGAUGCAGUAUUGCAAGCUGACUCUACCCACAGCCAAGAGUUGGAUCCUGAUCAACUCAAGGUUGACUUAGCCUUCCAUCAUUCUGGCAUUGGUAAAAUGAAGACCCAGAUUGGUGGGGCAAUAUGCUGACCCUGUAAACCACUGAGAGAGGGCUAUAAAGCAUGAAGCGGU
Molecule: long non-coding RNA, 786 nt
Filed under: Pseudonaja textilis
Lineage: Eukaryota; Metazoa; Chordata; Lepidosauria; Squamata; Elapidae
Description: lncRNA (ENSPTXG00000004600.1)
Source: RNAcentral